CUAUGAAGGUGGAAGUGAAAAACAAAGUUCGUCUUGUAAGAUCGAUGACGUUGAGCUGUGUUACAUUCUGUAUUGAAACAGUAACAGAGCGACCAUACUUAAGGUUCACGAGGAAUAUGUUCCCAUAUGCAUGGAGAUUGAUCUGCAUGGAUUAUCAGGCCCUUAACGAUGGAACACCUGAUGUGAGGAAUGCAGCUUUCUCAGCUUUGGCGGCUAUUUCCAAGAUGGUUGGCAUGAGACCUUUGGAAAAGUCUCCAGAAAAAUCUGGAUGAUGUCAGACAAAAGAAGUAUCUGAAAUGAUUGGGGGUCGACGGGGGAUCCUUAUGCUCUUCCAAACUCAGGUGUUGUUCAACCUUCUAGAGCAGUUUUGACUAUGAGUUUCCUCUGAACUAGUAGAAUGGAUAUGAAGCAAACCACUUGCGGAUCUUUGCUGCAGCAACUGCAGAAAUGAAUCUUUUUUCCUGCAGCAAAUUUUGGAUAAAGUUUGUGAAAAUUAGGAAGAGCGGGACAAAAUUCUUCUUCAAUUGGAUCAGGAGUGCUUGGAUGUGUACAAGAGAAAAGUUGACCUGACAUUGAAAUCUAGAGCCCACCUUCUUCAGACACUGGCAGAUGCUAGAGUUG
Molecule: long non-coding RNA, 621 nt
Organism: Salvia splendens (bonfire salvia)
Lineage: Eukaryota; Viridiplantae; Streptophyta; Magnoliopsida; Lamiales; Lamiaceae
Exons: 6
Source: RefSeq, a predicted model, not a curated record